This 462-nucleotide ribosomal RNA is filed under the name uncultured bacterium. RNAcentral describes it as "bacterial SSU rRNA". It matches the Rfam family "Bacterial small subunit ribosomal RNA", at positions 335 to 790 of the family's 1533-position model. The record is from RNAcentral.
ACUCCUACGGGAGGCAGCAGUAGGGAAUCUUCCACAAUGGGCGCAAGCCUGAUGGAGCAACACCGCGUGAGUGAAGAAGGGUUUCGGCUCGUAAAGCUCUGUUGUUAAAGAAGAACACGUAUGAGAGUAACUGUUCAUACGUUGACGGUAUUUAACCAGAAAGUCACGGCUAACUACGUGCCAGCAGCCGCGGUAAUACGUAGGUGGCAAGCGUUAUCCGGAUUUAUUGGGCGUAAAGAGAGUGCAGGCGGUUUUCUAAGUCUGAUGUGAAAGCCUUCGGCUUAACCGGAGAAGUGCAUCGGAAACUGGAUAACUUGAGUGCAGAAGAGGUAGUGGAACUCCAUGUGUAGCGGUGGAAUGCGUAGAUAUAUGGAAGAACACCAGUGGCGAAGGCGGCUACCUGGUCUGCAACUGACGCUGAGACUCGAAAGCAUGGGUAGCGAACAGGAUUAGAUACCCCGU